UACGUAGGGGGCAAGCGUUGUCCGGAAUCAUUGGGCGUAAAGCGCGCGUAGGCGGCCCGGUAAGUCCGCUGUAAAAGUCCAGGGCUCAACCCUGGAAAGCCGGUGGAUACUGUCGGGCUAGAGUCCGGAAGAGGCGAGUGGAAUUCCUGGUGUAGCGGUGGAAUGCGCAGAUAUCAGGAAGAACACCUAUGGCGAAGGCAGCUCUCUGGGACGGUACUGACGCUGAGACGCGAAAGCGUGGGGAGCGAACAGG
Molecule: ribosomal RNA, 253 nt
Filed under: uncultured bacterium
Lineage: Bacteria
Description: partial 16S ribosomal RNA
Rfam family: Bacterial small subunit ribosomal RNA
Source: RNAcentral